AAUAUUGCACAAUGGGGGAAACCCUGAUGCAGCGACGCCGCGUGAGCGAAGAAGGCCUUCGGGUCGUAAAGCUCUGUCCUAAGGGAAGAAGAGAACGGUACCUUAGGCAGAAGCCACUGCUAACCACGGGCCAGCCGCCGCGGUAAUACGUAGGGUGCGAGCGUUAUCCGGAAUUACUGGGCGUAAAGGGUGCGUAGGCGGCCUUUUAAGUCAGAUGUGAAAGGCGACGGCUUAACCGUAGUUAGCAUUUGAAACUAGAAGGCUUGAGUGCAGGAGAGGAGAGUGGAAUUCCUAGUGUAGCGGUGAAAUGCGUAGAUAUUAGGAGGAACACCGAUGGCGAAGGCAGCCCCCUGGGAUAAUACUGACGCUCAGACACGAAAGCGUGGGGAGCAAACAGG
RNAcentral lists this ribosomal RNA (398 nucleotides) under uncultured bacterium. RNAcentral's name for it is "partial 16S ribosomal RNA". It matches the Rfam family "Bacterial small subunit ribosomal RNA", at positions 360 to 776 of the family's 1533-position model. The record is from RNAcentral.